GAUGAACGCUGGCGGCGUGCCUAAUACAUGCAAGUCGAGCGAACGGACGAGAAGCUUGCUUCUCUGAUGUUAGCGGCGGACGGGUGAGUAACACGUGGAUAACCUACCUAUAAGACUGGGAUAACUUCGGGAAACCGGAGCUAAUACCGGAUAAUAUUUUGAACCGCAUGGUUCAAAAGUGAAAGACGGUCUUGCUGUCACUUAUAGAUGGAUCCGCGCUGCAUUAGCUAGUUGGUAAGGUAACGGCUUACCAAGGCAACGAUGCAUAGCCGACCUGAGAGGGUGAUCGGCCACACUGGAACUGAGACACGGUCCAAACUCCUACGGGAGGCAGCAGGAGGGAAUCUACCGCAAUGGGCGAAAGCCUGACGGAGCAACGCCGCGUGAGUGAUGAAGGUCUUCGGAUCGUAAAACUCUGUUAUUAGGGAAGAACAUAUGUGUAAGUAACUGUGCACAUCUUGACGGUACCUAAUCAGAAAGCCACGGCUAACUACGUG
Molecule: ribosomal RNA, 497 nt
Filed under: uncultured bacterium
Lineage: Bacteria
Description: partial 16S ribosomal RNA
Rfam family: Bacterial small subunit ribosomal RNA
Source: RNAcentral